Molecule: ribosomal RNA, 2800 nt
Filed under: Klebsiella pneumoniae
Lineage: Bacteria; Pseudomonadati; Pseudomonadota; Gammaproteobacteria; Enterobacterales; Enterobacteriaceae
Description: bacterial LSU rRNA
Rfam family: Bacterial large subunit ribosomal RNA
Source: RNAcentral
AGCCGGCGAUGUCCGAAUGGGGAAACCCAGUGCAAUUCGUUGCACUAUCGUUAACUGAAUACAUAGGUUAACGAGGCGAACCGGGGGAACUGAAACAUCUAAGUACCCCGAGGAAAAGAAAUCAACCGAGAUUCCCCCAGUAGCGGCGAGCGAACGGGGAGCAGCCCAGAGUCUGAAUCAGCUUGUGUGUUAGUGGAACGGUCUGGAAAGUCCGACGGUACAGGGUGAUAGUCCCGUACACCAAAAUGCACAGGUUGUGAACUCGAAGAGUAGGGCGGGACACGUGGUAUCCUGUCUGAAUAUGGGGGGACCAUCCUCCAAGGCUAAAUACUCCUGACUGACCGAUAGUGAACCAGUACCGUGAGGGAAAGGCGAAAAGAACCCCGGCGAGGGGAGUGAAAAAGAACCUGAAACCGUGUACGUACAAGCAGUGGGAGCACCUUCGGGUGUGACUGCGUACCUUUUGUAUAAUGGGUCAGCGACUUAUAUUCUGUAGCAAGGUUAACCGUAUAGGGGAGCCGCAGGGAAACCGAGUCUUAACUGGGCGUUAAGUUGCAGGGUAUAGACCCGAAACCCGGUGAUCUAGCCAUGGGCAGGUUGAAGGUUGGGUAACACUAACUGGAGGACCGAACCGACUAAUGUUGAAAAAUUAGCGGAUGACUUGUGGCUGGGGGUGAAAGGCCAAUCAAACCGGGAGAUAGCUGGUUCUCCCCGAAAGCUAUUUAGGUAGCGCCUCGUGAACUCAUCUUCGGGGGUAGAGCACUGUUUCGGCUAGGGGGUCAUCCCGACUUACCAACCCGAUGCAAACUACGAAUACCGAAGAAUGUUAUCACGGGAGACACACGGCGGGUGCUAACGUCCGUCGUGAAGAGGGAAACAACCCAGACCGCCAGCUAAGGUCCCAAAGUCAUGGUUAAGUGGGAAACGAUGUGGGAAGGCACAGACAGCCAGGAUGUUGGCUUAGAAGCAGCCAUCAUUUAAAGAAAGCGUAAUAGCUCACUGGUCGAGUCGGCCUGCGCGGAAGAUGUAACGGGGCUAAACCAUGCACCGAAGCUGCGGCAGCGACACUAUGUGUUGUUGGGUAGGGGAGCGUUCUGUAAGCCUGCGAAGGUGUGCUGUGAGGCAUGCUGGAGGUAUCAGAAGUGCGAAUGCUGACAUAAGUAACGAUAAAGCGGGUGAAAAGCCCGCUCGCCGGAAGACCAAGGGUUCCUGUCCAACGUUAAUCGGGGCAGGGUGAGUCGACCCCUAAGGCGAGGCCGAAAGGCGUAGUCGAUGGGAAACAGGUUAAUAUUCCUGUACUUGGUGUUACUGCGAAGGGGGGACGGAGAAGGCUAUGUUAGCCGGGCGACGGUUGUCCCGGUUUAAGCAUGUAGGCUGGUUGUCCAGGCAAAUCCGGAUAAUCAAGGCUGAGGUGUGAUGACGAGGCACUACGGUGCUGAAGUAACAAAUGCCCUGCUUCCAGGAAAAGCCUCUAAGCAUCAGGUAACAUUAAAUCGUACCCCAAACCGACACAGGUGGUCAGGUAGAGAAUACCAAGGCGCUUGAGAGAACUCGGGUGAAGGAACUAGGCAAAAUGGUGCCGUAACUUCGGGAGAAGGCACGCUGGUGUGUAGGUGAAGUCCCUGCGGAUGGAGCUGAGACCAGUCGAAGAUACCAGCUGGCUGCAACUGUUUAUUAAAAACACAGCACUGUGCAAACACGAAAGUGGACGUAUACGGUGUGACGCCUGCCCGGUGCCGGAAGGUUAAUUGAUGGGGUUAUCCGUAAGGAGAAGCUCUUGAUCGAAGCCCCGGUAAACGGCGGCCGUAACUAUAACGGUCCUAAGGUAGCGAAAUUCCUUGUCGGGUAAGUUCCGACCUGCACGAAUGGCGUAAUGAUGGCCAGGCUGUCUCCACCCGAGACUCAGUGAAAUUGAACUCGCUGUGAAGAUGCAGUGUACCCGCGGCAAGACGGAAAGACCCCGUGAACCUUUACUAUAGCUUGACACUGAACAUUGAGCCUUGAUGUGUAGGAUAGGUGGGAGGCUUUGAAGCGUGGACGCCAGUCUGCGUGGAGCCAACCUUGAAAUACCACCCUUUAAUGUUUGAUGUUCUAACGUUGGCCCCUGACCGGGGUUGCGGACAGUGUCUGGUGGGUAGUUUGACUGGGGCGGUCUCCUCCCAAAGCGUAACGGAGGAGCACGAAGGUUAGCUAAUCCUGGUCGGACAUCAGGAGGUUAGUGCAAUGGCAUAAGCUAGCUUGACUGCGAGCGUGACGGCGCGAGCAGGUGCGAAAGCAGGUCAUAGUGAUCCGGUGGUUCUGAAUGGAAGGGCCAUCGCUCAACGGAUAAAAGGUACUCCGGGGAUAACAGGCUGAUACCGCCCAAGAGUUCAUAUCGACGGCGGUGUUUGGCACCUCGAUGUCGGCUCAUCACAUCCUGGGGCUGAAGUAGGUCCCAAGGGUAUGGCUGUUCGCCAUUUAAAGUGGUACGCGAGCUGGGUUUAGAACGUCGUGAGACAGUUCGGUCCCUAUCUGCCGUGGGCGCUGGAGAAUUGAGGGGGGCUGCUCCUAGUACGAGAGGACCGGAGUGGACGCAUCACUGGUGUUCGGGUUGUCAUGCCAAUGGCACUGCCCGGUAGCUAAAUGCGGAAGAGAUAAGUGCUGAAAGCAUCUAAGCACGAAACUUGCCCCGAGAUGAGUUCUCCCUGAGACUUUAAGUCUCCUGAAGGAACGUUGAAGACGACGACGUUGAUAGGCCGGGUGUGUAAGCGCAGCGAUGCGUUGAGCUAACCGGUACUAAUGAACCGUGAGGCUUAACCUU